UACGUAGGGUGCGAGCGUUAAUCGGAAUUACUGGGCGUAAAGCGUGCGCAGGCGGUUUUGUAAGCCAGAUGUGAAAUCCCCGGGCUUAACCUGGGAAUGGCAUUUGGGACUGCAAGGCUCGAGUGCGGCAGAGGAGACUGGAAUUCCCGGUGUAGCGGUGAAAUGCGUAGAUAUCGGGAGGAACAUCAGUGGCGAAGGCGGCCUUCUGGUCCAGUACUGACACUCAAGUGCGAAAGCGUGGGGAGCAAACAGG
RNAcentral lists this ribosomal RNA (253 nucleotides) under uncultured bacterium. RNAcentral's name for it is "partial 16S ribosomal RNA". It matches the Rfam family "Bacterial small subunit ribosomal RNA", at positions 524 to 776 of the family's 1533-position model. The record is from RNAcentral.